UUUAUUAUCAAAUUUCUCUGAAAUAAUUCCAUCUUCUUCUCUGAAGUUUUCAAACUUAGAAAUGCUUAUUUUUAAAAAAGAAAUAUAUUAGAAACCUCUUAUUCCUUUAUAAGUUACAACAUGGUUUGAAACGGGGAACUUCCUUUAUUUCUUUUGCUGGAUUCUGAGUUUCUUCUAGCUUUGAUUCUGGGUUUAAACCUGAUUUUAAGAGUUGUAGAGGCUGUUUAGUUUGUUGCUGUUGUUUUUUGCUUUGGAGUAGCUUUGCCAGCCUCAUUUAAUCCUUUAGCUUCUAGGUACACAAUCUAUUCCUUGAAAUGACUCCUUUGUAUGUGAAGUUCUAUGAAUAAAUGGUUCCUUGUUUUCUGUUGGAUUCUGACUGAUGAGUUGUUAGCCUUUAUGCAAAGCUAAUACUGCUCAUUCUCUAUCAAAUGUGUAUUUUAGAUUUUUUUCAUUAAUGAAGUGACAUGUCUAGAUCCUUACCCCUAAAAUUUGGUUAGCUUAUUGAGUUUGACCCUUCCAUGGUCAAAUUCAUAGCCUAAACCAACCUUCCCCUCCCUUUAAGUGUAUUAUGUAUUUCCUUUAAGGCAGCAUGCCAUGACUGUGAGGUUUAAAACCUCAGUUGAUAU
RNAcentral lists this long non-coding RNA (626 nucleotides) under Nicotiana benthamiana. Its description in RNAcentral is "long non-coding RNA (NBEN_LNC028569)". The record is from RNAcentral. Lineage: Eukaryota; Viridiplantae; Streptophyta; Magnoliopsida; Solanales; Solanaceae.